UAAGGAAUAUUGGACAAUGGUCGCAAGACUGAUCCAGCCAUGCCGCGUGCAGGAUGAAGGCCCUAUGGGUUGUAAACUGCUUUUAUACGGGAAUAAACCCUCCGACGUGUCGGGGGCUGAAUGUACUGUAAGAAUAAGGGUCGGCUAACUUCGUGCCAGCAGCCGCGGUAAGACGAAGGACCCAAGCGUUAUCCGGAUUCAUUGGGUUUAAAGGGUGCGUAGGCGGAUUGAUAAGUCAGUGGUGAAAGCCUGCAGCUUAACUGCAGAACUGCCAUUGAUACUGUCGAUCUUGAAUAUGUUUGAUGUGGGCGGAAUAUGACAUGUAGCGGUGAAAUGCUUAGAUAUGUCAUAGAACACCGAUUGCGAAGGCAGCUCACAAAGCCAUAAUUGACGCUGAGGC
RNAcentral lists this ribosomal RNA (400 nucleotides) under uncultured bacterium. RNAcentral's name for it is "bacterial SSU rRNA". It matches the Rfam family "Bacterial small subunit ribosomal RNA", at positions 355 to 752 of the family's 1533-position model. The record is from RNAcentral.